UCAGUGGAUGGCUCGGUUCGAGUGCCGAAGAAGGGCGUGCCAAGCUGCGAUAAGCUCCGGGAAGACGCAUGGAGUCUACGAUCCGGAGAUUCCCUAAUGGGACAUCCCAACACUUCGGUGUUGAUCCGUAAGGAUCGGGAACCCCCCGAAUUGAAACAUCUUAGUAGGGGGAGGAAGAGAAAUCAACCGAGAUGUCGUUAGUAGAGGCGAUCGAACACGACAGAGUUCAAACUGAAUCCCGCAAGGGAGAUGUGGUGUAGUAAGCCUACCGUCCGGAUACCAAGGUCAAACGGAAAUCCUCUGGAAUGAGGUGCCAAAGAGGGUGAUAGCCCCGUACGUGCAAGCCGAGGUAUCCUGGUAGUGUCUUGAGUACCGCGGGUCGGAAUUCUCGCGGGAAUCUGGGGGUCAUCAACCUCCAAAACUAAAUACUACUCGAAACCGAUAGCGUAUUAGUAGCGUGAGCGAAGGCUGAAAAGUAACCCUUGAAAGGUGGUUAAAAGCGCCUGAAACUGAUAGGUGAUAGUGAGUUACGGCGCGAAAGGAUCUUCCACGUGAAGGAACCCGUCGCGAGGCGGUAGUACGGGCGUGGUUGCCGGUGUCGUAACGUACGUUUUGAAGAACGGGCCAGAGAGUUUAUUCUGUAGGCGAAGGUUAACCCAAAAGGGGAGCCGAAGGGAAACCAACAGGUCCGUAGCCUUCGGGCAUGGGACGACGUAUUAAAAGUGCGUGGAGUCUGCAGGAUAAGACCCGAAGCCUAGCGAUCUAUGCGUGGGCAGGUUGAAGCGUGCCGAAAGGCGCGUGGAGGACCGCAAGCGGUUUUGAUAUGCAAAUCAUUCGUGUGACCUGCGUAUAGGAGUGAAAGAUUAAUCGAGCUGGGCAUCCGCUGGUUCCUCUCGAAACAUGCCGUAGCAUGACCUGGCUGGAGAUAGACGGUGAGGUAGAGCACUGAUUGGGGGAGCUGGGGGAGAAAUCCCUCACCCUCCUGUCAAACUCCAAAUUCCCCGUCGUCGAAGAAGGCUGGCAGUCCGGACUACGGGGUAAGCUUGUAGUCCGUAAGGGAGACAACCCAGACCGUGGUUAAUGUCCCUCAAUGUAGGCUAAGUGUCAACACUGAAAGGCGUCCCAGGCCAAAGACAACUGGAAGGUGAGCUCAGAAGCAGCUAUCCUUUAAAAAGUGCGUAACAGCUUACCAGUCGAGGUUUGGGGCACUGAAAAUGGACGGGGCUAAAGCCUACUACAGAUACCACGGACCACACAACGUGUGAUGGCGUAGAGAGGCGUGCUGCCUGGGCAGAAGCAGGGGCGUGAGCUCCUGUGGACCGGGUAGUAAUGAGAAUUCUGGCAUUAGUAGAAGCAAAGUUGGGUGAGAAUCCCAACCGCCGGAGGGGCUAGGUUUCCUCGGCAAUGUUCGUCAGCCGAGGGUUAGUCGGUCCUAAGAUGUGUCGUAAUUCGAGCACAUCGAAAGGGAAACAGGUUAAUAUUCCUGUACCAUUCAUCCGUAGCGUUAAUUCGCCCUGACGCUUCGGGAUAUGCCGGGCAGGGCCGUCGCCCUGUCCAAGCGUUCAAACUCGUGGAGUACCGCCAUGGUGAGAAGCGAGUGAAGGCGUGAUGGGGUAACUCGGCAAAUUCCUGGAGCCCGUGAAAAGGGGGAUGAAUGUCCGUACCGAGAUCUGACACAGGUGCCCCUAGCUGAAAAGGCUAAGGCGUGUCGGUUUAAUCGUGUUAAGGGAACUCGGCAAAUUAGCCCCGUAACUUUGGGAGAAGGGGUGCCUGCCUGGCGAUCAGGCAGGUCGCAGUGACCAGGGGGCUCUGACUGUCUAAUAACAACAUAGGUGACUGCAACUCGGAAACGACUAGUAUAGUCACUGAUUCCUGCCCAGUGCGAGUAUCUGAACACCGGGUUCAACCGGACGAAGGACUCGUAAACGGCGGGGGUAACUAUGACCCUCUUAAGGUAGCGUAGUACCUUGUCGCUUAAUUGGCGACUUGCAUGAAUGGAUUAACGAGAGCCCUACUGUCCCUAACACGAGGCCGUUGAACAUUUUAUCCUAGUGCAGAGACUAGGGACUCCAGAUGGGAAGUGAAGACCCCGUGGAGCUUUACUGCAGCCUGUCGCUGUGUUACGGUAUUCCUUGCGCAGCGUAGAUGGGAGGCGUCGAUCCACCCCUUCCGGGGGGUGGGGAGCCAACAAUGAGACACCAUCCUUGGUUUACUGUAACACUAACUCAACCGAGGACAACGAUAGGUAGGCAGUUUGGGUGGGGCGCCACACCCUCGAAAAAAUAUCAAGGGUGCCCUAUGGUCAACUCAUGUGAGUCAGAAACUCACAGGAGAGUGUCAAGAGCAUAAGUUGGCCUGACGCGAUUUCGCAUAGCAAGAAAUCGCGAGAGGAAACUCGGGUCUAACGAACUAAUGAGCCUUAUUGAUGAGGGCCAUUAACGACAGAAAAGCUACCCCGGGGAUAACAGAGUCGUCGCCGGCAAGAGCACAUAUCGACCCGGCGGCUUGCUACCUCGAUGUCGGUUCUUUCCAUCCUGGCCGUGCAGCAGCGGCCAAGGGUGAGGUUGUUCGCCUAUUAAAGGGGAUCGUGAGCUGGGUUUAGACCGUCGUGAGACAGGUCGGUUACUAUCUAUCUGGAGUGUAAGGAGUCUGAAGGUAAGAUGGAAAUAGUACGAGAGGAACUUUCCGUCGUCGCCUCUGGUCGAUCGGUUGUCCGACAGGGCAAUGCCGAGCAGCUACGCGAUAAGGGAUAAAAGCUGAAAGCAUCUAAGCUUGAAACCUGACCCGAAAAGAGACUCCGUUGAGGACACGGGUAAAAGACCCGCUUGAUAGGUCCGGGAUGUAAGCACGAAGGCAACG
RNAcentral lists this ribosomal RNA (2859 nucleotides) under Methanoculleus sediminis. RNAcentral's name for it is "bacterial LSU rRNA". It matches the Rfam family "Archaeal large subunit ribosomal RNA". The record is from RNAcentral. Lineage: Archaea; Methanobacteriati; Methanobacteriota; Methanomicrobia; Methanomicrobiales; Methanomicrobiaceae.